RNAcentral lists this long non-coding RNA (1332 nucleotides) under Lactuca sativa (garden lettuce). RNAcentral describes it as "long non-coding RNA (LSAT_LNC002289)". Lineage: Eukaryota; Viridiplantae; Streptophyta; Magnoliopsida; Asterales; Asteraceae. The record is from RNAcentral.
UUGUUUGUUUGCAUAUUAUUUUUUACCUCUUAAAAUUAUAAAUGCCUCUUAUUUUUUCAGAUAUCAAACAAAGUCUGAAAAAAAAAAAAAAGGACGCAUUCCUUAUUUGCCCUAAACAAGAUCGACUGCCUCCUAUUCUUUCAUUCCCUUCGUGUUUGCUUCUCCGCGUCUGUUUCUCUACACCUUCCGAUGAUGCCGCUGAAACGGCGCCCGCCCACCCAAAACGUCGACGACGCUGCACCCAGCAACGCCGCCGCCACCGCCGCAAGUUCUUCUAUCUCCAACUCGUUCUUCCACCGACGCAACUGGUUUGUUUCUCUUCUCCUUUUAAAAUCAAAUCCAUUGCUCUUCUUCUGUUUCUUCCUUCUUUCCCCCAAACUUGAAAAUCAAAAAUCCAAAUAAGAUCUUGAUGUUAUGCUAUCUGUUUCUGAUUUGUUCAAUCAAAAUCAAUAUUGAUGUUAUGCUCGAUUUUAUGUGAUAGUUUAUGUGAAAUCAGUUUUCAAAAAUCAAAAUCAAUAUUUGCGUUCAAUAGAUAGUAUAUGUGAAAUUAAUUUUCAAAAAAAUUAAGUAAUCUUUUUAUCUAAUUAAAUUUUGAUUUGAAUUUGUUUGUAUAUUUGAAACUUCAUGGAUGGAAUUGUCCAUCGAGAUCUAAAACCACAAAAUCUCCUACUUUCUUGAAAUGAGGGCAAUUGAACAUUGAAGAUUUCAAUUCCCAUAUACGUUAAGAGAGUUGUUUGUGAGGUAUAUUCAAACUAUGUUUCAUCCGACCAAACGGGCCCUUAUAAUCGUGAGCUGUGAAAUCUAUUAUAUCCAUUUCUAUUAACUUUUUUUUUUCUUUUCAUUCUAUUCAUGAGCUGUGAAAUCUGUUAUAUCCAUUUCAUGAUGUAUUUGUCCCUCUUUGUGGUUAUGUAGUUGAGCAUAAAGUUAUUGCUGACAAGUGAUAUGAUACCAGUAAUUCCAACUCCGAAGUCCUCUACAUAGGUUCUGAUUCCAGCUGAAACAAAAGGAACCACCAUCAAUGAUAUGGGCUGUAAUUUCAAAUCUAGUUCAUCGGAGAUUAUAUCUCCAGUUCAUUAAUUGGGCAUGUCUCUAUGCCUUUUUGCGUGCUCUGUUUCCAGUUCAUGAGUUGCCACUCUCCUUGAUACAACUUGUAAUCUACUUUCAAGAAUAACUAUUAAGGGUUUUUCUUUCAAGAAUGUGUUUAUACUUGUCAUGAUAUGUAAGAAAUAGCAAUGUACUUUUAUUGAUUUUUUUAUUGUAAAGUCAAACUUUCACCUCUUCCUAUUAGACCAUUGUAUUGUAUUUUGAAAAAUCUAUUUAGUUAAAACAAAG